AAACAACCCAGACCGCCAGCUAAGGUCCCAAAGUCAUAGUUAAGUGGGAAACGAUGUGGAAAGGCCCAGACAGCCAGGAGGUUGGCUUAGAAGCAGCCAUCCUUUAAAGAAAGCGUAAUAGCUCACUGGUCGAGUCGGUCUGCGCGGAAGAUGUAACGGGGCUAAACUAUGCACCGAAGCUGCGGAUUCAUACUUUGUAUGAGUGGUAGGGGAGCGUUCUGUAAGCGGUUGAAGGUGUACCGGGAGGUAUGCUGGACGUAUCAGAAGUGCGAAUGCUGACAUGAGUAACGAUAAUGCGGGUGAAAAACCCCCACGCCGGAAGACCAAGGGUUCCUAUCCCAUGUUAAUCAGGGUAGGGUAAGUCGACCCCUAAGGCGAGGCCGAAAGGCGUAGUCGAUGGGAAACGGAUUAAUAUUUCCGUACUUGGUAUAAUUGCGAUGGGGGGACGGAGAAGGCUAAGCAAGCAUGGCGAUGGUUGUCCAUGUGAAAGUGAGUAGGGCGUUUGUUUAGGUAAAUCCGGACGAACAUUAAACCUGAGACACGAGACGAGCUACUACGGUAGUGAAGUUGCUGAUGCCAUACUUCCAGGAAAAGCCUCUAAGCUUCAGAUUAUACCGAAUCGUACCCCAAACCGACACAGGUGGUCAGGUAGAGAAUACUAAGGCGCUUGAGAGAACUCGGGUGAAGGAACUAGGCAAAAUCGUACCGUAACUUCGGGAGAAGGUACGCUCCUAUCUGUGAUGAGACUUGCUCUCUAAGCGGACGGGAGCCGCAGUGACCAGGUGGCUGGGACUGUUUAUUAAAAACACAGCACUGUGCAAAAUCGCAAGAUGACGUAUACGGUGUGACACCUGCCCGGUGCCGGAAGGUUAAUUGAUGGGGUUAUCUUCGGAGAAGCUCUUGAUCGAAGCCCCGGUAAACGGCGGCCGUAACUAUAACGGUCCUAAGGUAGCGAAAUUCCUUGUCGGGUAAGUUCCGACCUGCACGAAUGGUGUAACCAUGGCCACGCUGUCUCCACCCGAGACUCAGUGAAAUUGAAAUCGCAGUGAAGAUGCUGUGUACCCGCGGCUAGACGGAAAGACCCCGUGAACCUUUACUACAGCUUGGCACUGAACAUUGAACCUACAUGUGUAGGAUAGGUGGGAGACUUUGAAGAUGAGACGCUAGUCUUGUUGGAGUCGUCCUUGAAAUACCACCCUUGUAGUUUUGAUGUUCUAACGUUGGCCCCUGAAUCGGGGUUACGGACAGUGCCUGGUGGGUAGUUUGACUGGGGCGGUCUCCUCCCAAAGAGUAACGGAGGAGCACGAAGGUUGGCUAAGUACGGUCGGACAUCGUACGGUUAGUGUAAUGGUAGAAGCCAGCUUAACUGCGAGACAGACACGUCGAGCAGGUACGAAAGUAGGUCAUAGUGAUCCGGUGGUUCUGAAUGGAAGGGCCAUCGCUCAACGGAUAAAAGGUACUCCGGGGAUAACAGGCUGAUA
RNAcentral lists this ribosomal RNA (1481 nucleotides) under seawater metagenome. Its description in RNAcentral is "bacterial LSU rRNA". It matches the Rfam family "Bacterial large subunit ribosomal RNA", at positions 1020 to 2487 of the family's 2925-position model. The record is from RNAcentral.